AGAACGAACGCUGGCGGCAUGCCUAACACAUGCAAGUCGAACGAGACCUUCGGGUCUAGUGGCGCACGGGUGCGUAACGCGUGGGAAUCUGCCCUGGGGUACGGAAUAACAGUGAGAAAUUACUGCUAAUACCGUAUGAUGACGUAAGUCCAAAGAUUUAUCGCCCUGGGAUGAGCCCGCGUAGGAUUAGCUAGUUGGUGGGGUAAAGGCCUACCAAGGCGACGAUCCUUAGCUGGUCUGAGAGGAUGAUCAGCCACACUGGGACUGAGACACGGCCCAGACUCCUACGGGAGGCAGCAGUGGGGAAUAUUGGACAAUGGGCGAAAGCCUGAUCCAGCAAUGCCGCGUGAGUGAUGAAGGCCUUAGGGUUGUAAAGCUCUUUUACCCGGGAAGAUAAUGACUGUACCGGAGAAUAAGCCCGGCUAACUCCGUGCCAGCAGCCGC
Molecule: ribosomal RNA, 444 nt
Filed under: uncultured bacterium
Lineage: Bacteria
Description: SSU rRNA
Rfam family: Bacterial small subunit ribosomal RNA
Source: RNAcentral